UAUAAUGUUUUGACUCUUCGUCUUAUUUGAAAUUUUUUGCGAUUAAUAUUUUUAUUUUUGCUAGAUGAUAAAACAUUAAUAAUACUUUGUAUGCGUGACUAAUUUUUUAAAUUUUUUGUAUAAAUUUUUCAAAUAGGACGAAUAGCCAAACGUUCGGCACGGGAAAGC
This 168-nucleotide microRNA precursor is filed under the name Oryza brachyantha (malo sina). Its description in RNAcentral is "MIR812 microRNA precursor family". It matches the Rfam family "MIR812 microRNA precursor family", at positions 27 to 190 of the family's 205-position model. Lineage: Eukaryota; Viridiplantae; Streptophyta; Magnoliopsida; Poales; Poaceae. The record is from Rfam by way of RNAcentral.